CCGGUACAGAGAUGUACUUUCCCCUUCGGGGGCAGGGGUGACAGGUGGUGCAUGGUUGUCGUCAGCUCGUGUCGUGAGAUGUUGGGUUAAGUCCCGCAACGAGCGCAACCCUUGUCCUUAGUUGCCACCAUUCAGUUGGGCACUCUAAGGAGACUGCCGGUGACAAACCGGAGGAAGGUGGGGAUGACGUCAAAUCAUCAUGCCCCUUAUGAGUUGGGCUACACACGUGCUACAAUGGACGGUACAAAGGGCAGC
This 255-nucleotide ribosomal RNA is filed under the name Exiguobacterium sp. SL-10. Its description in RNAcentral is "partial 16S ribosomal RNA". It matches the Rfam family "Bacterial small subunit ribosomal RNA", at positions 995 to 1250 of the family's 1533-position model. Lineage: Bacteria; Bacillati; Bacillota; Bacilli; Caryophanales. The record is from RNAcentral.